GUAGGUGGCAAGCGUUAUCCGGGAAUUAUUGGGGCGUAAAGCGCGCGUAGGCGGUUUUUUAAGUCUGAUGUGAAAGCCCACGGGCUCAACCGUGGGAGGGUCAUUGGAAACUGGAAAACUUGAGUGCAGAAGAGGAAAGUGGAAUUCCAUGUGUAGCGGUGAAAUGCGCAGAGAUAUGGAGGAACACCAGUGGCGAAGGCGGCUUUCUGGUCUGUAACUGACGCUGAUGUGCGAAAGCGUGGGGAUCAAACAGGAUUAGAUACCCUGGUAGUCCACGCCGUAAACGAUGAGUGCUAAGUGUUAGGGGGUUUCCGCCCCUUAGUGCUGCAGAUAACGCAUUAAGCACUCCGCCUGGGGAGUACGACCGCAAGGUUG
This 375-nucleotide ribosomal RNA is filed under the name uncultured organism. Its description in RNAcentral is "partial 16S ribosomal RNA". It matches the Rfam family "Bacterial small subunit ribosomal RNA", at positions 527 to 896 of the family's 1533-position model. The record is from RNAcentral.